RNAcentral lists this ribosomal RNA (515 nucleotides) under uncultured bacterium. Its description in RNAcentral is "partial 16S ribosomal RNA". It matches the Rfam family "Bacterial small subunit ribosomal RNA", at positions 28 to 523 of the family's 1533-position model. The record is from RNAcentral.
GAUGAACGCUGGCGGCGUGCCUAAUACAUGCAAGCCGAGCGAAUGGAUUAAGAGCUUGCUCUUAUGAAGUUAGCGGCGGACGGGUGAGUAACACGUGGGUAACCUGCCCAUAAGACUGGGAUAACUCCGGGAAACCGGGGCUAAUACCGGAUAACAUUUUGAACCGCAUGGUUCGAAAUUGAAAGGCGGCUUCGGCUGUCACUUAUGGAUGGACCCGCGUCGCAUUAGCUAGUUGGUGAGGUAACGGCUCACCAAGGCAACGAUGCGUAGCCGACCUGGGAGGGUGAUGGGCCAGACUGGGACUGAGACACGGCCCAGACUCAUACGGGAGGCAGCAGUAGGGAAUCUUCCGCAAUGGACGAAAGUCUGACGGGGCAACGCCGCGUGAGUGAGGAAGGCUUUCGGGUCGUAAAACUCUGUUGUUAGGGAAGAACAAGUGCUAGUUGAAUAAGCUGACACCUUGACGGUACCUAACCAGAAAGCCACGGCUAACUACGUGCCAGCCGCCGCCGUAA